AUGAGGUUUUCUGAUUGGAGUCAGAGAUUGUCAGUUGCGGUUCAGAAUGUGUGGGUGGUGCAAAAAAAGGUGAUGCGAUCAGAAGGAGGCCGUCUGAUGACAUCUAACGAUAGACAACAGUUCAUAGUGUGGAUUCAUUGUGAAACUCUAAAAUAUGGUUACAUUAUACCUAUAAUGCCUUGGUGGAGUGACUAUGGAUUAAUGAUUGGACCUCAGAAUUGUUGCCUCCAAGGCUUGCCAUGGCGCGACAGUGAGAAGUCUUUUAGAAAAUUAGGUCGGCUUAUCGUGUCAGACUCACUACUUGGAGAAGUGGGAAAGAUUUAG
This is a non-coding RNA of Vicia faba (fava bean), 324 nucleotides long. The record is from the annotation of a GenBank genome assembly. Lineage: Eukaryota; Viridiplantae; Streptophyta; Magnoliopsida; Fabales; Fabaceae.